This 397-nucleotide ribosomal RNA is filed under the name uncultured bacterium. Its description in RNAcentral is "partial 16S ribosomal RNA". It matches the Rfam family "Bacterial small subunit ribosomal RNA", at positions 523 to 918 of the family's 1533-position model. The record is from RNAcentral.
AUACGUAGGGGGCGAGCGUUGUCCGGAAUGAUUGGGCGUAAAGGGCGCGUAGGCGGCCCGGUAAGUCUGGAGUGAAAGUCCUGCUUUUAAGGUGGGAAUUGCUUUGGAUACUGUCGGGCUUGAGUGCAGGAGAGGUAAGUGGAAUUCCCAGUGUAGCGGUGAAAUGGGUAGAGAUUGGGAGGAACACCAGUGGCGAAGGCGGCGUUCUGGGCUGGAACUGAAGCUGAGGCGCGAAAGGGUGGGGAGCAAAGAGGAUUAGAUACCCUUGUAGUCCACGCUGUAAACGAUGGGAUCUAGGCGUAGGGAGUAUCGACCCUUUCUGUGCCGCAGUUAAAGCAAUAAGCAUGAAGCCGGGGGAGUACGGCAGCAAGAUUGAAACUCAAAUGAAUUGACGGGG